GCAGGGUUCUAGCAUUUUUAGUUGUAAGUAUUGAUUAUUUUUUUUGUGUUUUUCAUGUCUGAUGGUCUUGACAAAAUUGGAUUUGAAAUUUUGUAAUGUGGACCUAUGUGGGGAUAAAAGAUAACAGAAGUUAUGCCAUUGUUAACUUAAAGCUGUAAAUAGAAACAACCACCCCCACCCCUCUACACACACAUAAAAGGAAAUGAAAAGAUGGAUUAAUUUUUGAGGUUCACUUGAAUUUUUUUUUUGCCACCAUGAGAGAAAUAACCGAAGAAAACAUGGGCUUUCAUGUUCAAACUGAAUAAUAGUUGGUGGUUACUAAUUGAAAUUCCACAUUGCUCUUCAGGAAUAAUCUUGUACUGAAAAACACAAAAUAUAAUAGAAACAAUGUCUUGUGUGGUGUAGGCAGUAGUGGGGCUAGACAUUUUUUUAGGGGGCCAAUGCUUACCAAACAUAAUAUUAUUUUUGAAAUAGAAUUAUAUAUCUAAUAAUUGAUUCACUAAUUUAUGAGGGGUAUUUUUUUAGAAGAAAAGAAACAAAUCAAACUUAAACAAUGUAAAACUUACUAAAAGAAAUUAUAAAUCAAUCAUUAAUGAAUUUAUAUUAAUCUUUUAUGCAUAUAUAUAUUUAUAUGACAUUUUAUUAAUAACUUGC
RNAcentral lists this unclassified non-coding RNA (654 nucleotides) under Hevea brasiliensis (rubber tree). Lineage: Eukaryota; Viridiplantae; Streptophyta; Magnoliopsida; Malpighiales; Euphorbiaceae. The record is from RNAcentral.